AUGUCUAUUGGACCCGAGACCGAUCGAGCUAACUUAGUGCAGGCCUGCGCCUUGCAGGGCCGAACCGGUGUCUGUUGCAAAAGACUCGGAUGACACUAAGUUAGGGGUGAAAUGCCAAUCAAGUUCGGAGAUAGCUGGUUUUCCGCGAAAUCUAUUUAGGUAAAGCGGGCAGCUCU
RNAcentral lists this ribosomal RNA (176 nucleotides) under Leontynka pallida. RNAcentral describes it as "large subunit ribosomal RNA". It matches the Rfam family "Bacterial large subunit ribosomal RNA", at positions 702 to 890 of the family's 2925-position model. The record is from RNAcentral. Lineage: Eukaryota; Viridiplantae; Chlorophyta; Chlorophyceae; Chlamydomonadales.